AGUUUGUUAUAGGACAAUGAAGUUUAUGGCCCUUAAUUUCUCAUCUACAAUCAUUACCCUUUUCACAUUUUCAGUAUUUCAAAUUUUUCAAUGACUUGCUACUCUUACUAUAAAUAUAUAGAAUCUUGAAGUGUAUAAUUAAUUCAAGAAACUAUAUAGAUACAUAGAAUCUUGAAAAAUUUUUUUUAUAAAGUUUAGUGAUCAAUAAACAUUUUGAAAGGAAGAUAUAUAGAAUGUUGGAAGGGAAAGCAUAUGUUAAGGAUACAGAUAUGCCAUUGAAGAUGCAAGUUCAUGCAAUGGAUUCUGCAUCUCAUGCUCUUGAUGUUUAUGAUGUUAUUGACUGCACUUCCAUUGCUGCACAUAUCAAGAAGGAAUUUGAUAAGGUUUAUGGUGGUGGAUGGCAAUGUGUAGUGGGCUCAAAUUUUAGUAGCUUCUUUACUCACUCAAAAGGCUCUUUCAUCUAUUUCUCAUUGGAGACUCUCAGUUUCCUCAUCUUUAAAGGUUUGGUGGUGUGUGAAAAUGAAAAGUGAGCAAACUAGAUCCACACAAGAAGAACAAAAGGGCAAGUGAAUCUUGACUUUAUAUAUGUGCCCAUGAAUCAUGAAAUGAUGGUAAGUUUGCAGGUGAAGUAACACAUUUGUUGAAGAAGAAACAAAGAUUUUAAGCAAAAGUAGGAAAACGAAUGGUUUUUAUUUUAAUAUUUUUGUUGGUUGAAAAAUAAGUAAUAGUAAUGUGAAUGGCUAUGGAUAGCAAUAAUUGGGAGUUUAAGGAAAUCGGUGAUAUAUGUUUGAUAUCAACAUUGUCAUGAAUUCAGAUCCCUUUUUUAUUUUUUGGGUAUCCCAAGAAGAAAGAAAAAUAUACUUCCUUGAA
RNA transcript from Erigeron canadensis, 870 nucleotides. It is a transcript of the gene named dynein light chain LC6, flagellar outer arm-like, with no coding region annotated. The transcript has 4 exons. The record is from RefSeq and is a predicted model, not a curated record. Lineage: Eukaryota; Viridiplantae; Streptophyta; Magnoliopsida; Asterales; Asteraceae.